AGUGAACGCUGGCGGUAGGCCUAACACAUGCAAGUCGAACGGCAGCACAGUAAGAGCUUGCUCUUACGGGUUGCGAGUGGCGGACGGGUGAGGAAUACAUCGGAAUCUACUUUUUCGUGGGGGAUAACGUAGGGAAACUUACGCUAAUACCGCAUACGACCUACGGGUGAAAGCAGGGGAUCUUCGGACCUUGCGCGAUUGAAUGAGCCGAUGUCGGAUUAGCUAGUUGGCGGGGUAAAGGCCCACCAAGGCGACGAUCCGUAGCUGGUCUGAGAGGAUGAGCAGCCACACUGGAACUGAGACACGGUCCAGACUCCUACGGGAGGCAGCAGUGGGGAAUAUUGGACAAUGGGCGCAAGCCUGAUCCAGCCAUACCGCGUGGGUGAAGAAGGCCUUCGGGUUGUAAAGCCCUUUUGUUGGGAAAGAAAAGCAGCAGGUUAAUACCCCGCUGUUCUGACGGUACCCAAAGAAUAAGCACCGGCUAACUUCGUG
Molecule: ribosomal RNA, 492 nt
Filed under: uncultured bacterium
Lineage: Bacteria
Description: partial 16S ribosomal RNA
Rfam family: Bacterial small subunit ribosomal RNA
Source: RNAcentral